ACCUGGGUGGCUCAGUUGGUUGAGCAUCUGACUUCAGCUCAGGUCAUGAUCUCGUGGUUUGUGAGUUCAAGCCCCACAUUGGGCU
Molecule: transfer RNA, 85 nt
Filed under: Felis catus (domestic cat)
Lineage: Eukaryota; Metazoa; Chordata; Mammalia; Carnivora; Felidae
Rfam family: tRNA
About the family: Transfer RNA (tRNA) molecules are approximately 80 nucleotides in length. Their secondary structure includes four short double-helical elements and three loops (D, anti-codon, and T loops). Further hydrogen bonds mediate the characteristic L-shaped molecular structure. tRNAs have two regions of fundamental functional importance: the anti-codon, which is responsible for specific mRNA codon recognition, and the 3' end, to which the tRNAs corresponding amino acid is attached (by aminoacyl-tRNA synthetases). tRNAs cope with the degeneracy of the genetic code in two manners: having more than one tRNA (with a specific anti-codon) for a particular amino acid; and 'wobble' base-pairing, i.e. permitting non-standard base-pairing at the 3rd anti-codon position.
Source: Rfam by way of RNAcentral